Rhipicephalus sanguineus (brown dog tick) is the source of this 670-nucleotide long non-coding RNA. RefSeq lists it as uncharacterized. The transcript has 3 exons. NCBI's taxonomy places the organism in Eukaryota, Metazoa, Arthropoda, Arachnida, Ixodida, Ixodidae. The record is from RefSeq and is a predicted model, not a curated record.
UAUAAGGAACAUGGAUACAGUGAAUUAUUGGUUAUGUCAAACUCCAGCCAAAGGUUUCAAUAAUUACAGGAGCCUCGCCUACCAAUCGGCAGCGUUCUCUGACCAUGUUCGGAAGUGUUGCAGGGCCCCUAUAAGGCUUCCCAUGACGAUUCUGAGCACAUUCCCUGACUGAGAAGCCUGCUUUGAACACCCCAAGAUAACUUCCACAGCUCUACAAUGACUGCUCGUACUGGAAAGACGUUUUUCACUCAAGGUGCCAGUUAGAGAACCAAGAGAUUAUACCUAAACCCAACUUAUUCAAAUUUCAUUACUUUCUGGUCACAAGAAGAUUCCAGCCUGACGUACCAGAGCAGCCACCUUUUCUGAGCACCUGGUUUCGAUAUCUCCACUGAAAUUCGAUCAUGAAUAUCUCAAAUUACGUUCUAUCUUCUUGCUUUCUAAAAUAUGGGUGUGCUAUAACAUUGUGACCCCCUACAACUUUCCCAUGUAACCAACUGCUUCGAUGUUGAUAGUUAAAAUGUUAAUUAACAAGGUCUUGUUAAUUGGUCUCUUUAAGGUAGCUUUAGCAAUGACAAGGUAUUUCCGCUACAACGUAACGUUUGGGUGCAAAGACAACAGGUCCUUUACUGUAAUAGCAUUGUAAUAAAAAAUCAGUAUCGGCUAAAAAAUA